Lolium rigidum is the source of this 667-nucleotide long non-coding RNA. RefSeq lists it as uncharacterized. The record is from RefSeq and is a predicted model, not a curated record. NCBI's taxonomy places the organism in Eukaryota, Viridiplantae, Streptophyta, Magnoliopsida, Poales, Poaceae. The transcript has 2 exons.
UAGUCCUUUUCCCUUUUCUAUGUCAGUGGAGAGAGAGUUGGGAAUCAUGGGUGGUGGUGGCUCUCCCACGCCGGACGGCCGGAGGGUCUGCUUCCGCCGCGACGGGGAGUUGAAUCAGUGAAGGUCACCGGAGCGAGGAGCCAGGAGUAGUCCGCGCGUCUUCCUCCCCGUGUCUUUGUCGCUGGCUGGGUACGGGAGGCAUGGGUUUGCGGGGAGGUCGAGGAGCUGGGUUCCUCCAUGCCGGAGCUUCCAGAGAGAUGGAUCAAGAUAAAUAAGAGAGGCUACAUACUUGAUCAAGACAGAUGCAGAGAAGAUGUGGACAAAAGUUUCCCCAUUUGCUACCGCCUUCUUCAUUUUUGUUGUAGGUGUACUCUUUCCCCUCCAUUGUAAGUCCCUUGCUUUUGUGGAUCUCUUUCUCUCGUUUUGUUCGGAUCCUCUUUUUGUUUUCCUCUGUAGUGGACGUCCGCCGCUGGGAUUGCAUGAGGAGGAAGAAGAAAGAAUGUUAACGUGAAGGCAGAACAGGUCACGUCGUCACGAAAUAAAGUCCCAGCUUUUCUGUUCGUGUGUAAGACUCAUAAAUACCCAGAUGUAGCAAACUAGCAAGAACGGAGCAGUUUAGUCCUUGUUAUCAUUACCAGGGCGCGAAAUGAGGCUGAAUUGAUUGGGA